AGUGAGAAUCAGUGGGGGUGGAGUCCGGGACCUCUGUUUUAACAAGUUCUCCAGGUGACCCUUAUGCAUGCUAAAAUUUAGGAACCACACAUCUAGAGUAAGCAUGACACUAACUAAGACAGAAGGCAGCACCAGGAAUCUGGGAAUGUCACCAGGAUUUCAAAUAUCUGACCCAGGAACCAGAGUCUGAAGUUGGCACCAGAGAAACCACAAGGACCAACAAAAUAUGAGGCACGUAAGUGAGGCCAUCAACCACCAACUGACCAUCAAAACAUGAGUGAGCAAAGAUGACACCACAUGGAGCAGCAAUGAGCCAUUCCAGCUGAAUCCAGCCCCAAUUUAUCACCCACAGAAGUCACAUAGGAGACUGUCAGCAGCUGGGAUAAUUGGAAUGGGACGUGAGAACGCUUUUGGCCAGAUGCCCUCUGGAAAUAACACUCUACCAGUUUGCUCAACUUGGAAAGCUUCAUUCCAUCCUUGAAUUGUGUGAGAAUUUCCCACUCAACAGCUGUUGGCCAACUGAGAGCUAAUUAAUCCUAGAGCAUAAAUAAUAGCUAAUCAUGGAGGUCUCUUCCUCCCAACAAUCGGGGCUCCAGAUGCUGGGCAAGUGUUCGAAAUGGCAGCUCCAAGGAUAAGGCUAAAUUGUGGUAUCUGAAAAUGUCAUCUGGGAAUUGUCUGCCUCAGAACCACAGAAAUGCUAAUUAAAAAUGCAGAUUCUUGGGCCAAAUUUCAAGUUGACAGAUUCAGUCUCCCACAUGACUCUUGUUUUCAUAACAUCUGAGAAUCACUGCAUUGUUUGGCUUUGGGAGAUUUGAGGGGCUGAGAAUUUUGUCUCUAGUUUAAAUUUUUCU
Molecule: long non-coding RNA, 851 nt
Filed under: Equus asinus (donkey)
Lineage: Eukaryota; Metazoa; Chordata; Mammalia; Perissodactyla; Equidae
Description: lncRNA (ENSEASG00005038803.1, ENSEASG00020009071.1)
Source: RNAcentral